AGCGUAAUCACUUGUCCUUUAAAUAAGGACUAGUAUGAAUGGCUUCACGAAGGCUACACUGUCUCCUUUAUCCAAUCAGUUAAACUAAUCUCCCCGUGAAGAAGCGGGGAUUCGUCUAUAAGACGAGAAGACCCUAUGGAGCUUUAAACAUAUAAGACAUAUGAUUAUACCCAUACUAGACUUCACAUAGCCCAUCACCUUGUCUUAAGUUUUAGGUUGGGGUGACCACGGAGAAAAAUCAAACCUCCAUGUAGAAAGAAAAUUAUUUUCUAAGCAAAAAGCCACACCUUUACGCAUCAAAAUAUUGACCUAAAUUGACCCAAUUUCUUGCUCAACGAACCAAGUUACCCUAGGGAUAACAGCGCAAUCCGCUUUAAGAGCUCUUAUCGACAAGCGGGCUUACGACCUCGAUGUUGGAUCAGGGUAUCCUAAUGGG
RNAcentral lists this ribosomal RNA (436 nucleotides) under Allobates femoralis (brilliant-thighed poison frog). RNAcentral describes it as "partial 16S ribosomal RNA". It matches the Rfam family "Bacterial large subunit ribosomal RNA", at positions 1958 to 2554 of the family's 2925-position model. Lineage: Eukaryota; Metazoa; Chordata; Amphibia; Anura; Aromobatidae. The record is from RNAcentral.